AUACGUAGGGUGCGAGCGUUGUCCGGAAUUACUGGGCGUAAAGCGCACGCAGGCGGCUUUUUAAGUCGGAUGUGAAAGCCCCGGGCUCAACCUGGGAAUUGCAUCUGAUACUGGGAAGCUAGAGUAUGUGAGAGGGGGGUAGAAUUCCAAGUGUAGCGGUGAAAUGCGUAGAGAUUUGGAGGAAUACCAGUGGCGAAGGCGGCCCCCUGGCAAAAUACUGACGCUCAGGUGCGAAAGCGUGGGGAGCAAACAGGAUUAGAUACCCUGGUAGUCCACGCCGUAAACGAUGUCUACUAGAUGUUCGUGGUCUUUUACCGUGAGUAUCGCAGCUAACGCAUUAAGUAGACCGCCUGGGGAGUACGGUCGCAAGAUUAAAACUCAAAUGAAUUGACGGGG
This 396-nucleotide ribosomal RNA is filed under the name uncultured bacterium. Its description in RNAcentral is "partial 16S ribosomal RNA". It matches the Rfam family "Bacterial small subunit ribosomal RNA", at positions 523 to 918 of the family's 1533-position model. The record is from RNAcentral.